This is a ribosomal RNA of Ursus americanus (American black bear), 106 nucleotides long. The record is from Ensembl. Lineage: Eukaryota; Metazoa; Chordata; Mammalia; Carnivora; Ursidae.
CCUUAUGGCCAUACCACCCUGAACGUGCCCAUCUUUUCUGAUCUCCGAAGCUUAGCAGGGUUGGAUCUGGUUAGUACUUGGAUGGAGAAAAACCCCUAUUCUGGGC